ACGAACGCUGGCGGCGUGCUUAACACAUGCACGUCGAACGGAAAGGCCCUGCUUUUGUGGGGUGCUCGAGUGGCGAACGGGUGAGUAACACGUAAGUAACCUGCCCUUAACUUUGGGAUAACUUCAGGAAACUGGGGCUAAUACCGGAUAGGAGCUCCUGCUGCAUGGUGGGGGUUGGAAAGUUUCGGCGGUUGGGGAUGGACUCGCGGCUUAUCAGCUUGUUGGUGGGGUAGUGGCUUACCAAGGCUUUGACGGGUAGCCGGCCUGAGAGGGUGACCGGCCACAUUGGGACUGAGAUACGGCCCAGACUCCUACGGGAGGCAGCAGUGGGGAAUAUUGCACAAUGGGCGGAAGCCUGAUGCAGCAACGCCGCGUGCGGGAUGACGGCCUUCGGGUUGUAAACCGCUUUCGCCUGUGACGAAGCGUGAGUGACGGUAAUGGGUAAAGAAGCACCGGCUAACUACGUG
RNAcentral lists this ribosomal RNA (467 nucleotides) under uncultured bacterium. Its description in RNAcentral is "partial 16S ribosomal RNA". It matches the Rfam family "Bacterial small subunit ribosomal RNA", at positions 29 to 507 of the family's 1533-position model. The record is from RNAcentral.